CUCCCAGUCCAAUUCCAGUCCCUCCCAGUCCUUCUCAAUCCCAUUUCAUUCCAUCCCAGUCUCCUCCCAGUACAUCCAAGUCCCUCCCAGUCCCCCCAAUUCCCUCCCAGUCCCUUUCCAGUGCCUCCCAGUCCAAUUCCAGUCACUCCCAGUCCUUCUCAAUCCCAUUUCAUUCCAUCCCAGUCCCUCCCAGUCCUUUCCAGUCCCUCCCAGUCCCUCCCAGUCCUUUCCAGUCCCUCCCAGUCCUUUCCAGUCCCUCCCAGUCCCUUUCCAGUCCCUCCCAAUUCCCUCCCAGUCCAAUUCCAGUCCCUCCCAAUUCCAUCCCAGUCCAAUUCCAGUCCUUCCCAUCCCCUCCCAGUCCAUCCCAGUGCUCCCAGUUGUAACCAGUCUCCCUUUGCAGCACCUCCAUAUCUCUGGAUGAGGAGAAGAGCGCGGCGGCGGUGGCGGCCGUUUGCUCCUACCUGAGGCUGCAGGGGGUGAAGCCCAAGGGGGGCAGUGGAGACGCCAAGAAACCCAAAGGCCACUUCUUCCGGAAGAAGGUAAUUAAGCACCGCCCUCGUUAGCUCGUUAAUUAGUGAAUUACUUAAUUAGUCAGCCGCAGUCCCGUGAAAUAACCCCCAUUUGUUUAUUGGGGGGGGGGUGGAAAAUGAACCCCUUUUGGGGGGUGUAGGGGUGCCCCCGUGCUUUUACUAAUUAAUUAGCGGUGUAAUUAGUGGUUAAUUAGUGAUUAAUAACAGCUUCAUUAGUGAUCUAUACCCCCCCCCCAUACACACGCUUAGUAACCCCAAUUAGCUCUUUUCGGGGGGAAAAUUGAGCCCCUUAAUGAGUCCGUAGCGCCCCCUCCCGCUCUUCCUAAUUAACUAAUUGCGUCAUUAAUGAUUAAUUAGGGAUUAAUAAUCACUUCGUUAACGAGCCGUGGUGUUUCCUGUACCAAAUGACCCCAUUCAGCCUUCCUGAACCCCUCCUUUGGGGUACAGCGGGGCGCCCCGUUGUUCCUAAUUAACGAGCGGUGUAAUUAACGGUUAAUUAGCGCUCAUUAAGCGGUUCGUUAGCGGUUCAUUAACGACUCGCUGCGCUGUUUCCUACAUUUAAUUACCCAACUCAAUGGUUUUCAAGAGGAAAGAACCCAUCUAUUAGGGAAAAGCGCUGCCCUCCGCUCUUACUAAUUAUCUAAGGGCGUAAUUAGUGAUUAAUUAGCAAUUAAUGGGUGGUUUAUUAAUGAGUUCCUGCAUCAAACAAACCCAACUCGCUGAUUCUGGGUGAAGAAUAAACCUCCCUGUUUGCUGGACGGCUGCUGUUGA
RNAcentral lists this long non-coding RNA (1301 nucleotides) under Phasianus colchicus (ring-necked pheasant). RNAcentral's name for it is "lncRNA (ENSPCLG00000019777.1)". Lineage: Eukaryota; Metazoa; Chordata; Aves; Galliformes; Phasianidae. The record is from RNAcentral.